Molecule: microRNA, 18 nt
Filed under: Homo sapiens (human)
Lineage: Eukaryota; Metazoa; Chordata; Mammalia; Primates; Hominidae
Description: hsa-miR-4253
Source: miRBase by way of RNAcentral
AGGGCAUGUCCAGGGGGU